RNAcentral lists this ribosomal RNA (454 nucleotides) under uncultured organism. RNAcentral's name for it is "bacterial SSU rRNA". It matches the Rfam family "Bacterial small subunit ribosomal RNA", at positions 346 to 794 of the family's 1533-position model. The record is from RNAcentral.
GUGCAGCAGGCGCGAAUUUUUCUCAAUGGGCGAAAGCCUGAAGGAGCGACGCCGCGUGGGGGAUGAAUGGCUUCGGCCCGUAAACCCCUGUCAUUUGUGAACAAAUUGUUUCACCUAACACAUGAAGCAUUGAUAGUAACGGAAGAGGAAGGGACGGCUAACUCUGUGCCAGCAGCCGCGGUAAUACAGAGGUCCCAAGCGUUGUUCGGAUUCACUGGGCGUAAAGGGCGCGUAGGCGGUUGGGUAAGUCUGACGUGAAAUCUCCGGGCCUAACCGAAAACUGCGUUGGAUACUAUCCGGCUAGAGGAAUGGAGGGGAGACUGGAAUACUUGGUGUAGCAGUGAAAUGCGUAGAUAUCAAGUGGAACACCAGUGGCGAAGGCGAGUCUCUGGACAUUUCCUGACGCUGAGGCACGAAAGCCAGGGGAGCAAACGGGAUUAGAUACCCCUGUAGU